RNAcentral lists this unclassified non-coding RNA (374 nucleotides) under plant metagenome. Its description in RNAcentral is "partial contains small subunit ribosomal RNA, internal transcribed spacer 1, and 5.8S ribosomal RNA". The record is from RNAcentral.
UUUCCGUAGGUGAACCUGCGGAAGGAUCAGUCUUGAUAACACAAGCUGAUGCUGCUGGAUGCGGCCUAUGCUGCUCAGUGCGCGUUGGGGAGGCUGUCGUGUCAAAAGCGACGGUUUCCAAUCCCUUCUGUGGCCCAUGGUCACGUUAAUUGGCGCGAGGGCUUAUGCCCCGCCCCGUGCUUCACAUGUUCGAGUCGGGUGUGAAGCGCGUGUCCCUACCGAACAGCAAUUAAAUAUAUGGGACUUCACUGAUCGCUGGGAUGCCUUGUAUUGCACGAUGGCGUAAGACCCGCGAGGCCACGGCCAUACUAUCAAUAUAACUAUCAUGAAACAUACAGUUAAUUACAACUGGUAGCGUUGGAUCCCUCGGCAUG